CUACGGGGCGCUGCAGUGAGGAAUAUUGCACAAUGGGGGGAACCCUGAUGCAGCAACGCCGCGUGGAGGAUGACGCAUUUCGGUGUGUAAACUCCUUUUAUAUGUCAAGAAAAUGACGGUAGCAUAUGAAUAAGCACCGGCUAACUCCGUGCCAGCAGCCGCGGUAAUACGGAGGGUGCAAGCGUUACUCGGAAUCACUGGGCGUAAAGGACGCGUAGGCGGGCUUGUAAGUCAGGUGUGAAAUCCUACAGCUUAACUGUAGAACUGCACUUGAAACUACGAGCCUAGAGUAUGGGAGGGGGAGAUGGAUUUAGUGGUGUAGGGGUAAAAUCCGUAGAUAUCACUAGGAAUACCUAAAGCGAAGGCGAUCUCCUGGAACAUAACUGACGCUAAGGCGUGAAAGCGUGGGGAGCAAACAGGAUUAGAUACCCCAGUAGUC
RNAcentral lists this ribosomal RNA (439 nucleotides) under uncultured bacterium. RNAcentral's name for it is "partial 16S ribosomal RNA". It matches the Rfam family "Bacterial small subunit ribosomal RNA", at positions 339 to 795 of the family's 1533-position model. The record is from RNAcentral.